GAUGAAUGCUGGCGGCAUGCCUAAUACAUGCAAGUCGAGCGGUAACAGGACUAGCUUGCUAGUUGCUGACGAGCGGCGGACGGCUGAGUAACGCAUGGGAACGCACCCCAAACUGAGGGAUAACUAGUCGAAAGAUUAGCUAAUACCGCAUGUGAUCUUCGGAUUAAAGCUUUCGGGCGGUUUGGGAGCGGCCUGUGUACGAUUAGAUAGUUGGUGAGGUAAUGGCUCACCAAGUCGACGAUCGUUAGAUGGUUUGAGAGGAUGAUCAUCCAGACUGGGACUGAGACACGGCCCAGACUCCUACGGGAGGCAGCAGUAGGGAAUCUUUCACAAUGGGCGAAAGCCUGAUGGAGCAAUGCCGCGUGCAGGACGAAGGCCUUCGGGGUUGUAAACUGCUUUANUAAGCGAGGAAUAUGACGGUAACUUAUGAAUAAGGAUCGGCUAACUACGUGCCAGCAGCCGCGGUCAUACGUAGGAUCCGAGCAUUAUCCGGAGUGACUGGGCGUAAAGAGUUGCGUAGGUGGCGUCUUAAGUAGAUAGUGAAAUCUGGUGGCUCAACCAUUCAGACUGUUAUCUAAACUGGGAUGCUCGAGAGCGUCAUGGGUAACUGGAAUUUCUAGUGUAGGAGUGAAAUCCGUAGAUAUUAGAAGGAACACCGAUAGCGUAGGCAGGUUACUGGGGCGUUUCUGACACUAAGGCACGAAAGCGUAGGGAGCAAACG
Molecule: ribosomal RNA, 721 nt
Filed under: uncultured bacterium
Lineage: Bacteria
Description: bacterial SSU rRNA
Rfam family: Bacterial small subunit ribosomal RNA
Source: RNAcentral